GUUGGCUGUAUGAUGUCAUCACAGAGAUCCUUGUAAGAUGGCAGUGGAGGGCCAAGGGCACAACAGAAGACAGCUACAUGGUGAUGGAAGAGAGGCGCUUGGGUGUGUACUCGUUCAUACCUGUGCCUAUGUGUGCACCUUUGUGGAGGCCGAAGGUUGUCUCUGUCUCACCAGCACUGGAGUGACAGAUGUACACUGCUGGCUGGGCCUGGCUUUGUAUGUGAGGUCAGGGAUCUGAACUCAGGGAAUCGUGCUUGCUCAGCAAACAUUCAACUCACCUGGGCAUCUCCUCAGCCCCCUGCUUCCAGUCCUUUAGAAAGCACAGCUACUUCUACCAGGCAGAGAAAGGCCCAGACAGGAUUCCCUCCUGUAUGCAGCCCAUGGGGCCCCUCAUCUUUGGACAUCAUCCGCGUUUCUUAAGAGACCACAGUGACUGAUGGCAAUGGCCCCAGUGUCACCUGCCAGCUCAGUUGUGACACUCAGUUCCAUUUCCCUCUGUAGCCACUGCCGUGACCUGAAGAGACACUGCUCUGCCAGGCCAGGAGAGUUCUCGUAAGGCCUUCUGGGACCUGAGAUUUACCCUUAUCAUGUCUGCUCAUUCACCGAGACACAGAGUUUGGCCAGCCUCCUCCCCCACUGCACUGGUUCUUUGCAUCGGAGCAGCCAAGUGUCUUAUCGUAUGUGAGAAAGAUGGGGAAGCCUGCUUUCUUCACUGCGCAUGGGCACCGAGGCCUCU
Mus musculus (house mouse) is the source of this 736-nucleotide long non-coding RNA. RefSeq annotates it as predicted gene, 34062. The record is from RefSeq and is a predicted model, not a curated record. Lineage: Eukaryota; Metazoa; Chordata; Mammalia; Rodentia; Muridae. The transcript has 4 exons.